ACAGCACAAUCAGCUCUGACGGCCAUCUUGAAACGGUCCUGUGGUGGUCUGAUCAGCAUCUUGAUUGUUUUAAGUGCAGUUAGUCUUCAGUUCCAGGGUUGUUUUUUCCAUUUCCUUGAGGCCAAUUCUUGGAACGGUGUGUUUAUGUCACGGCUACCGUUUGGUCAUCGUGUCGUUAACUUCUUCCACCUGGUAGGGUUUUCAGUAUCUAUGAGACGACUCACGGGAAUCUGAGAAGCUAAGCAGAUCUUUUGCUGUCUUGGAGCUAAGGGACAAGAAAACGUGGAGUAGACGAAUGACCAUGAAGAAGGUGCUCCAUUAACAGGCUCCUGCUAAUCCAGUCAUCACUGGUCAGCAACAGAUGAGUAUUCGAUCCAUGGAAUGUCAAUUGAAGCCCUUAGGUUGAAAUUUUCAAUUUGGUGCCAAAACGAUUAUUCUCUUGUGGUGAAGCUGAUCAGAAAGAAUGAAGACAACAUAUAGGAAGAAGCAGAGAUGAGAAUUGGAAAUGGGGUACAGUUUGCCUUGAUUUCUCAGUUCUGGUGCCAUUGAGCUUUUACCAAUUCCCUUCCUAUACUUAAUAAACCCAGUAAAUUCUCCUUUUACCUAAGGAGUUUGGAAUGAAUUUUGACAUUUUCUACCAAAUGGUUCCUAAUUCUAUCUGGAUUGUAAUUAUUAUUCUCUAGCUAUGUAC
This is a non-coding RNA of Odocoileus virginianus texanus, 691 nucleotides long. The record is from RefSeq and is a predicted model, not a curated record. Lineage: Eukaryota; Metazoa; Chordata; Mammalia; Artiodactyla; Cervidae.